AUCUAUCUCGCCUGGUUGGAUAACGCCUUCAACCGCCUAUGGGCAGACUAUUGCGAUCCCAUUCUCUGUCGCUUGUGUAUUUGUGCCGGUCAGUGCACCUGUUGUGUGCGUGUUACCCUUUAUUGUGAGCCGCCCGUCAUUGUUCGUCGCUUGCUGUCCUGACUCAUGCGUUUCGAUUACAGUUCACUGACAUGUGGCUCAACAGUUAGUGUUAGGGUUCUUGGCUGCGGGUGGUUUCACCGCGUCAAGGC
Non-coding RNA from Pelobates cultripes (western spadefoot toad), 251 nucleotides. Lineage: Eukaryota; Metazoa; Chordata; Amphibia; Anura; Pelobatidae. The record is from the annotation of a GenBank genome assembly.